Molecule: long non-coding RNA, 1148 nt
Filed under: Panthera leo (lion)
Lineage: Eukaryota; Metazoa; Chordata; Mammalia; Carnivora; Felidae
Description: lncRNA (ENSPLOG00000005174.1)
Source: RNAcentral
CUUGAUGCUGAGCAGUUCCCGGGGGCAGCUGCAGCUGCUGAAGCACAGCGUCCCAGGCUCCGCUGAGGGGACCUGCUGUAGUCAUCAGCACAGAAAGAACUCUCCAGAACAGGUCCCCUUCUGGGAAGCCUGUCUGAUCAGAAUGAUUCCAUAGAAGUCGGUGAGUACCUUUGGUUGGUGCAGGGACAAUGAUGCCUCAGAAAGAGGAGGCCUGCUUUCUUCCACGGGGCCCUUGCUGUUAGUGGAUGCUCAGUGCUUUGAGCUAGUUAGAAUAAUAAAGUCGUUUUCUGGGAAGGGACUAUUUGGGAAUAAACUUCCAUGGGUUCCUCCUCCUGUACCCACCAGCCCCCACUCCCGGCUGUCAGCCUUUAGGGAAACAGAAGGAACAGCUUGAUCAGGGUUUUUCCUAGAAAAGCCCUUCGAUGGGCCCAUUAUGGAAAACCGAGCUGUUUUUUGUUUUCUUUGAUUAAUCACGCUGUCCUAUUUCCCAAAGCGAAUGUGGCCUUGGGUCUUCCAAUGAGUACAGCCGCAAAGGAAGGGCCCAGGCUCCCUGGAGCGUGAUAAGGAUACCAAGACAGGGGGAGGUGGGGCGGGACACGUGUAGUCCUGUCCUUAAGGACUCAGCUCUUUGAGGAAGCUCAGGUUACCCAUUUCCUUUGUGUUUUUUCUGCCAGUGCAAAAGGAGAAACAUUAGCCUUUAAAGAUUUCUUUAUAGUUCCUUGAAAGCUGGUGGGAUGAAGUCAGCCAGAGAAUUAUAUAACAGCAAAACUCAUUUAAAGCAACAGUAUCUUUCUAUAGGGCUGUGGCAUUUCAUUGAUCAGUCUUGGUCACUAAUUAUGAAGAAAAAGAUGCUAAUUUUGUGAAGAAAAAAAAUAGAGGGGCACCGGUCACACACUCCCGCUUCCUUACCUUCUAUUCUCUCACUGGAGGGAUGCAAUUCCUAGGGUGUUGAUUAAAAAAAAAAAAAUCCUCUUCCAAGGAGGACAAAAGGAAAUCAUGUUCAUUAACCUCAGGCAGCCACAGCAUACCUAAUCUUGUUUGAAUUCAGAAGAAAAAUAAGGAAAGAAAAAAGCUUUCUAAAGCACUCGUUUGUUGUAAUUUAAGAGUCUUGGGAAUUUUUUAAAUAUUCAGCUAUUUUUCUCCUUUCA